This 408-nucleotide ribosomal RNA is filed under the name uncultured bacterium. RNAcentral describes it as "partial 16S ribosomal RNA". It matches the Rfam family "Bacterial small subunit ribosomal RNA", at positions 28 to 526 of the family's 1533-position model. The record is from RNAcentral.
GACGAACGCUGGCGGCGUGCCUAAUACAUGCAAGUCGAGCGGAGCGGCGGGUGGGUGAGUAACGCGUGGGUGACCUGCCCUUAAGUCUGGGGUACCAUUUGCAAACAGAUGCUAAUACCGGAUACUAAUGGAUGGAUCUGGGAUGCAUUAGCUAGUUGGUAAUGUAACGGCUUACCAAGGCGAUGAUGCAUAGCCGGGUUGAGAGACUGAUCAGCCACAUUGGGACUGAGACACGGCCCAAACUCCUACGGGAGGCAGCAGUAGGGAAUCUUCCACAAUGGACGAAAGUCUGAUGGAGCAACGCCGCGUGAGUGAAGAAGGUUUUCGGAUCGUAAAGCUCUGUUGUUGGUGAGGCGUUAAUCACCCAGAAAGUCACGGCUAACUACGUGCCAGCAGCCGCGGUAAUAC